This 484-nucleotide ribosomal RNA is filed under the name uncultured bacterium. RNAcentral's name for it is "partial 16S ribosomal RNA". It matches the Rfam family "Bacterial small subunit ribosomal RNA", at positions 29 to 507 of the family's 1533-position model. The record is from RNAcentral.
AUUGAACGCUGGCGGCAUGCUUUACACAUGCAAGUCGAACGGCAGCGCGGGCUUCGGCCUGGCGGCGAGUGGCGAACGGGUGAGUAAUACAUCGGAACGUGCCCAGUCGUGGGGGAUAGCUCGGCGAAAGCCGGAUUAAUACCGCAUACGACCUGAGGGUGAAAGCGGGGGAUCUUCGGACCUCGCGCUAUUGGAGCGGCCGAUGGCAGAUUAGCUAGUUGGUGGGGUAAAGGCCUACCAAGGCGACGAUCUGUAGCUGGUCUGAGAGGACGACCAGCCACACUGGGACUGAGACACGGCCCAGACUCCUACGGGAGGCAGCAGUGGGGAAUUUUGGACAAUGGGCGAAAGCCUGAUCCAGCAAUGCCGCGUGUGCGAUGAAGGCCUUCGGGUUGUAAAGCACUUUUGGCGGGAACGAAAAGGACUGUGCCAAUACCACGGUUCGAUGACGGUACCCGCAGAAUAAGCACCGGCUAACUACGUG